UGGGGAAUAUUGGACAAUGGGGGGAACCCUGAUCCAGCCAUGCCGCGUGUGUGAAGAAGGCCUUAUGGUUGUAAAGCACUUUAAGCGAGGAGGAGGGUACUGGUAUUAAUACUACCAGGUACUGGACGUUACUCGCAGAAUAAGCACCGGCUAACUCUGUGCCAGCAGCCGCGGUAAUACAGAGGGUGCGAGCGUUAAUCGGAUUUACUGGGCGUAAAGCGUGCGUAGGCGGCUUUUUAAGUCGGAUGUGAAAUCCCCGAGCUUAACUUGGGAAUUGCAUUCGAUACUGGGAAGCUAGAGUAUGGGAGAGGAUGGUAGAAUUCCAGGUGUAGCGGUGAAAUGCGUAGAGAUCUGGAGGAAUACCGAUGGCGAAGGCGACCACCUGGGCUCAUACUGACACUGAGGUGCGAAAGCGUGGGGAGCAAACAGG
Molecule: ribosomal RNA, 430 nt
Filed under: Pseudomonadota bacterium
Lineage: Bacteria; Pseudomonadati; Pseudomonadota
Description: Proteobacteria bacterium partial 16S ribosomal RNA
Rfam family: Bacterial small subunit ribosomal RNA
Source: RNAcentral